GACGAACCGGACAAACGUUAUUCGGAAUUACUGGGCUUAAAGGGUUUGUAGGCGGCCUUGUAAGUCAGGUGUGAAAUCCCUCGGCUCAACCGAGGAAUGGCGCUUGAUACUGCACGGCUUGAGGGAGACAGGGGUAAGCGGAACUGAUGGUGGAGCGGUGAAAUGCGUUGAUAUCAUCAGGAACACCGGUGGCGAAAGCGGCUUACUGGGUCUCAUCUGACGCUGAGGCACGAAAGCUGGGGGAGCGAACAGG
Molecule: ribosomal RNA, 253 nt
Filed under: uncultured bacterium
Lineage: Bacteria
Description: partial 16S ribosomal RNA
Rfam family: Bacterial small subunit ribosomal RNA
Source: RNAcentral